This 673-nucleotide ribosomal RNA is filed under the name Peribacillus muralis. RNAcentral's name for it is "bacterial SSU rRNA". The record is from RNAcentral. Lineage: Bacteria; Bacillati; Bacillota; Bacilli; Caryophanales; Bacillaceae.
AACGAUGAUUGCUAGUGUCAGAGGGUAUGCGCUCUUUAGAGCUGCCUCUCACGUAUUACACUCUCCCUGUGGGGAGUACGGCCGCAAGGAUGAAACUCAAAAGAUUUGAGGGGGGCCCGCACAAGCGGUGGAAUGUGUGUUUUAUUUCAAAACAACGCAAAAAACCUUACCAUGUUGUGACGUCCUCAGACAACCAUAGAUAUAGGGUUUUCCCCUUYGRGGAACAGAGAGACAGGGGGUGCAUGGCUGUCGUCAGCUCGUGUCGAGAGAUGUUGGGUUAACUCCCCCAACGAGCGCMACCCUUGUUCUUAAUUGCCCGCAUUCAGUUGGGCACUCUAAGGUGACUGCCGGGGACAAACCGGAGGAAGGGGGGGAUGACGUCAAAUCAUCAUGCCCCUUAUGACCUGGGCUACACACCCGCUACAAUGGAUGGUACAAAGGGGUGCAAACCUGCGAAGGUAAGCGAAUCCCAUAAAGCCAUUCUCAGUUCGGAUUGCUGGUUGCAACUCGGCUGCAUGAAGCCGGAAUCGCUAUAAUCGCGGAUCAGCCWGCCGCGGGGAAWACUUUCCGGGCCUUGUACACMCCGCCCCCCCACCCCAGAGAGUUAGUAACACCCGAAGUCGGUGAGGUAAUAAUUCAUGGAAAACCGCCCCUCAAAGUGGACAGAAAUUAG